This 52-nucleotide microRNA precursor is filed under the name Loxodonta africana (African savanna elephant). Its description in RNAcentral is "mir-1302 microRNA precursor family". It matches the Rfam family "mir-1302 microRNA precursor family". Lineage: Eukaryota; Metazoa; Chordata; Mammalia; Proboscidea; Elephantidae. The record is from Rfam by way of RNAcentral.
UGUUUAGUAUAAGUAUGUUCCAUGCAAUAUUCGGCAUGUAUUUAUAUUAAAA